GUGCGAGACCGAUAGCGAACAAGUACCGUGAGGAAAAGAUGAAAAGAACUUUGAAAAGAGAGUUAAAGAGUACCUGAAACUGCUGAAAGGGAAGCGAAUCGUAUCCAGUGUCUAUAAUCUGCGGCAUAUUUCAUUGGCGGCGGUGCGCGUGCUUUUGCGUCGGAAGCGGCUUUUGUUGCUCUGUGCUUUUGCUGUGCGUGUUGUUGCUGGUGCCCUGUGUUGCGGUGGGACGUCAGAGUCAGUUUGUAUGCUGCGGGAAAUGGCUGCCGAGGAGGUAGGUCGAGAUUUCGGUCUUGGCUGUUAUAUCUUGGUGGUUUGUUGUCGUGGUUGAGACUGAGGUGCCUACAAUGUGCUUUUGAGUGUACCGGGUUCUCAUUUGGUGGACUGUUUGGAUAGCUUGCUAUGCUUGUGGUUUUUUCAUCGGGUGAUUGAAACUGGUGGUAACUUGUUGCUGUUCGGGACUUUG
Molecule: ribosomal RNA, 466 nt
Filed under: uncultured Oomycota
Lineage: Eukaryota; Oomycota
Description: LSU rRNA
Rfam family: Eukaryotic large subunit ribosomal RNA
Source: RNAcentral